UUGAUACUGUAGAGCUAGGAUUAGGUUGCUGUGGGCGGAAUGUGUGGUGUAGCGGUGAAAUGCUUAGAGAUCACACAGAAUAUCGAUUGCGAAGGCAGCUCACAAAGCCUAAAUUGACGCUGAGGCACGAAAGUGUGGGGAUCGAACAGGAUUAGAUACCCUGGUAGUCCACACUGUAAACGAUGAUAACUCGCUGUCGGCGAUAUACAGUCGGUGGCCAAGCGAAAGCGAUAAGUUAUCCACCUGGGGAGUACGACCGCAAGGUUGAAACUCAAAGGAAUUGACGGGGGCCCGCACAAGCGGAGGAACAUGUGGUUUAAUUCGAUGAUACGCGAGGAACCUUACCCGGGCUCGAACGGUGCAUGAAUGUCAGAGAGAUUUGACAGUCCUUCGGGACAUGUAUCGAGGUGCUGCAUGGUUGUCGUCAGCUCGUGCCGUGAGGUGUCGGCUUAAGUGCCGUAACGAGCGCAAC
RNAcentral lists this ribosomal RNA (472 nucleotides) under uncultured bacterium. RNAcentral describes it as "bacterial SSU rRNA". It matches the Rfam family "Bacterial small subunit ribosomal RNA", at positions 627 to 1102 of the family's 1533-position model. The record is from RNAcentral.